CUGUCGUCAGCUCGUGUCGUGAGAUGUUGGGUUAAGUCCCGUAACGAGCGCAACCCUUGUCCUUAGUUACCAGCACGUUAAGGUGGGCACUCUAAGGAGACUGCCGGUGACAAACCGGAGGAAGGUGGGGAUGACGUCAAGUCAUCAUGGCCCUUACGGCCUGGGCUACACACGUGCUACAAUGGUCGGUACAAAGGGUUGCCAAGCCGCGAGGUGGAGCUAAUCCCAUAAAACCGAUCGUAGUCCGGAUCGCAGUCUGCAACUCGACUGCGUGAAGUCGGAAUCGCUAGUAAUCGUGAAUCAGAAUGUCACGGUGAAUACGUUCCCGGGCCUU
This 334-nucleotide ribosomal RNA is filed under the name uncultured Pseudomonas sp. Its description in RNAcentral is "bacterial SSU rRNA". It matches the Rfam family "Bacterial small subunit ribosomal RNA", at positions 1049 to 1382 of the family's 1533-position model. The record is from RNAcentral. Lineage: Bacteria; Pseudomonadati; Pseudomonadota; Gammaproteobacteria; Pseudomonadales; Pseudomonadaceae.